RNAcentral lists this long non-coding RNA (3584 nucleotides) under Manihot esculenta (cassava). RNAcentral's name for it is "long non-coding RNA (MESC_LNC009922)". The record is from RNAcentral. Lineage: Eukaryota; Viridiplantae; Streptophyta; Magnoliopsida; Malpighiales; Euphorbiaceae.
CUUCUCCUUACAGUACGCCUAUCUAGGGUUUUAGCUUUCGCUUCUUCCUUCUCCCCAUCUCUUUUAUUCUUCAUAUAAACUCCUAAGAUGAGCAACAACAAAGAUAACCUCAGCAUGGCCGAUCUCAGCGCCGGUAAUCUCUUCUCUCUAAAACCCUAACUCUUGUCUUUUUUUUUUUCGAUUUCUAUAGUCGCAAGUUAUUUUGCGUUCGUGUCUGUUAUUUUUGUAGUUAUUAACGAGGAGGAUCGAGCAGGCCUUGUUAGCGCGCUCAAGGUUAGUAUCUUACUCUAUUCUCUACUUGGUGACCGAGAAAAUUAAACCAGGCGAAUUUUCCCACUUUUGUUGUUCAAUUUAAGUUAAUAAUGCAAGUUAAAUUUCGAGACUAGGAUUUUAUUCGCUGAUAGAUUGGGGUAACUUUUGUUUGAGCAGAGUAAACUACAUUCUCUGGCUGGUCAGCACACUGAUGUGCUUGAGAAAUUGUCUCCAAACGUGAGAAAGCGCGUUGAGUUUCUAAGAGAGAUCCAGGCAUGUCUUUAUUAGAUUAAUUUUAUUUUCCUUUGCUGUUACUUCUAUUUUUAUGGCAUCUACUUUGUUUAUCUAUGUCUUGCUGCACAUAUGUGGAUAUAGUUGGUAGCCUUGCUACAUUGGUUGAAUGUCUUUUAUGCGCUAUUGCAAGUUUGAGUUGUGCAUGAUUCUCUCACGAGUAUAUAUCGAUGUCGGAGGGUUCACAUGAGUUAACAAUUUUGUGGAAGACAAUGAAAUGGUUAUAUAGUUGCUGUGCAUUUGAUCUACAUGACAAUAUGUGUUCCAAUGGAUCAGUUUCAACACCAAAGAUGUGCAUGCAUAGAAUUGAAAACACAAAUGAAAUCACUUAAUUAUGCUUGCUGAACAAAGGACACCCUUGGGGAUCAUUGGAACUAUCCACUCUUGCAACAUAUUAAUGAUUGAGCGUGUUGGUUCCUCCUAAAUAUGGACUGAUGAGUGUUCUUGGAUUUUCUGUCUUCUUAAUAUAUUUAGAGGAUGCUAAUUAUAGUCUUUCUGCUGGAGCUGGCUUCUUGGCAGUUAUGCAUGCAGUAUGAUCCACUGGCCUUUGGCAGUUGAAACCCUUGUUUUUAUAUAUGCAUUCCAAUUCUGUUGGAACUCUUUAUCCUUCAUCCUGGUGUUUGCGUUUCUACUGUCUUUUCAAAACGUAUUAGUAGCUUUGGAAGGUUGGAUAUUGAGGCAAAGCAUGCAGUGGUAUCGAGUGCAUGAUUAGUUUCAGAUGAAUUGGCACUAGACCCAGCGAAGGUCCUGUCCAGAGCUGGAACUGGAGUGCAAUUGGUAAAAAACUGGAUUGAUCAAAACUGGGCUACGAUCGGUCAGUUUGGACCAAAACUGGACUUUUUUCCUUAACAAAAUUUAAAAAAAAAGGGGAAAAUUUUUCCACCAUUGUAGUUGCUCAAACUGGCCAGGGGGGACCCUGCAUGUUUUAUCCCUUUGAAUAGAACCACUGGUUCUGAGCCGGUCCUGGUCUGCUUUAGCCCGUUGGUUAUUUCUAUAGCUGGCAAGAGUUUAGAAACAUGGUGAUUAGCUUUGAAGGCUUAUUGGCUCUUAGAUUUUUAUGGAAAUAUUAGACUUGUACUUCUGGUUGCUUAUUUGCAAAGUUAAGGAAUUUUGUUUUAGCUAUGGUUAUUCCCCCUCUUUUUGUGCAUGUUGCAUGUCUCCAUUUCAUUUACUCUUUAAUUGCAUUUUACUCUCAUUCUUGCAUGAACACUUACAAAAAAAACAUUUGUUCAAAUAUAUAAGGAUUUCUUGAUAUGCAGAGCCAACAUGAUGAAUUAGAGGCAAAAUUCUUUGAGGAGAGAGCAGCACUUGAAGCAAAAUAUCAAAAACUCUACCAACCCUUAUAUACCAAGGUAUCAUUCUGAUCAUUAUUCUUGAGUUAUGAAAACCUAUCUGUUUAUUAACUGAACACAAGGACUCCUGCUGUCCUGCAUACCUUUUUUACUUUAUAUGGUGAAAUAUGGAGAAAGCUUUGAGGGUAGUACUGCUGUAUAUCAACUUUUUCUUCAUGUGGCAUCUUUCAUCGUCUCAUCCUCCAUUUAGCAUGAUCUUUUUUUGCAGUAUAUAAUAAUUCCUUUGGCUGUGCCUUUUAUUUUGUUUCCAUGCCCUGUAAUGUUACUUGCAGAGAUAUGAGAUUGUGAAUGGCACUGUUGAAAUUGAUGGAGCAACAAACGAAGCAGCAAUGGACCAAGAGGGGGAUCAAGCUGCUGAAGGUACCUUCUAAUCAUUAUCCAAUUAUUAACCCCCCCCAACACUGCUUCAUUUGGCAAUUUUCCUUAGGUUAAUAUUUGAAUUUGUUUGAUACAGACAAGGGUGUGCCUGAUUUUUGGCUCAUUGCAAUGAAGAACAAUGAUGUGUUGGCUGAGGAGGUUUGUUAUUGAAUUGUCAUGUUUUGCUGCUCUACUUGUUAUGUGGUUAGAUUGUUUUUAUUCAUGGAUUGUAAUUGUUUCCCUAUAUUUUUUAUUAGAUAACUGAACGUGAUGAAGGAGCUCUCAAGUACCUUAAGGAUAUUAAAUGGUGUAGAAUAGAUGAUCCCAAGGGAUUCAAGCUCGAGUUCUUCUUUGAUCCCAACCCUCAUUUCAAGAACACUGUUUUGACAAAGACAUAUCACAUGAUUGAUGAAGAUGAGCCCAUUCUUGAGAAAGCAAUUGGGUAACUGUUGUUUAUUUUGAUAUUAGCUACUUCUGCAAUUAGAUCUUCAAGAAAGCAUAUCAGUUUCUAGUUAAUCUCAUAAGUGAAAUCUGGUUGGUAACUGGUUAUUUUUAGGACGGAGAUUGAAUGGUAUCCAGGAAAAUGUUUAACACAGAAACUUCUUAAGAAGAAGCCUAAAAAGGGAUCAAAGAAUGCCAAGCCAAUCACUAAAACUGAGGAUUGUGAAAGUUUCUUCAACUUCUUUAAUCCGCCUCAAGUGCCUGAAGAUGAUGAAGAUAUUGAUGAAGAUACAGUAUGACGAUGUCAUUACAUUGUAUUAAUGAAAUGACAAUUUUAUUGCAUAUUGCAUGUAUUAACUUUUCCCUAUGUUCUUGACUAGGCUGAGGAGCUUCAGAAUCAAAUGGAACAAGAUUAUGACAUUGGGUGAGUUCUUUAUAAUCUACUCUUUUGUUAUGGAUGGAUUUCACUAAGUGUAAAUCCUGGUGGUAAUGCUCCUGGGAAGUAAUAGUAAUAUAGUGGAAUUCUAAAUCAAACUCUUGCUUUUUUCUCUCCUUGCAUCCUUGUUUCCGCAUGUAAUAACUUUUUUUGUUUACUAUUGAAAUUUUUAUUCAGGUCAACCAUUCGAGACAAGAUUAUCCCUCAUGCUGUAUCUUGGUUUACGGGUGAGGCAAUGGAGGGAGAUGAGCUUGGAAUGGAAGACGAUGACGAGGAUGAAGAUAUUGAUGAAGAGGAUGAUGAAGACGAUGAAGAAGAAGAGGAUGAGGAGGAUGAAGAGGAAAGCAAAACCAAAAAGGUCUGACAGUAUUUUAUUGCUGCCCUGUUGUUUUUCCUACUUUUUCUCUUUUGGGUUUUUAAUUUGAUGUGCUAAUCAUUGUUUUUGUCAAUUGGGU